RNAcentral lists this ribosomal RNA (516 nucleotides) under uncultured soil bacterium. RNAcentral's name for it is "bacterial SSU rRNA". It matches the Rfam family "Bacterial small subunit ribosomal RNA", at positions 26 to 528 of the family's 1533-position model. The record is from RNAcentral.
AGAUUGAACGCUGGCGGCACGCCUUACACAUGCAAGUCGAACGGCAGCACGGGAGCAAUCCUGGUGGCGAGUGGCGAACGGGUGAGUAAUAUAUCGGAACGUGCCCAGUCGUGGGGGAUAACGCAGCGAAAGCUGUGCUAAUACCGCAUACGAUCUAUGGAUGAAAGCGGGGGAUCGCAAGACCUGCGCGAUUGGAGCGGCCGAUAUCAGAUUAGCUAGUUGGUGGGGUAAAAGCCUACCAAGGCGACGACCUGUAGCUGGUCUGAGAGGACGACCAGGCCACACUGGAACUGAGACACGGUCCAGACUCCUACGGGAGGCAGCCAGUGGGAAUUUUGGACAAGUGGGCGCAAGCCUAGAUCCAGGCAAGUGACCGCGUGCCAGGAUGAAGGCCUUCGGUUGUAAACUGCUUUUGUACGGAACGUAAACGGUUCUACUCUAAGUACGAGGGCUAAGUGAACGGUACCGUAAAGUAAGUAACGUACAACCGGUACUAACGUACGUACGACCAGACCG